Molecule: non-coding RNA, 179 nt
Filed under: Caryophanon tenue
Lineage: Bacteria; Bacillati; Bacillota; Bacilli; Caryophanales; Caryophanaceae
Source: RNAcentral
UAGAAUGCUAAAGAUGUAGACGCUGAAAAGCUUAAUAGGGAAUUUGGUGUAACUCCAAAACUGUUUCCGCAACUGUAAGUAUGGAUGAACUGAGCAUAACCACUGUUUGAACAAAACGGGAAGGGCUCAUAGUAAAACGAAGUACGAGUCAGGAUACCUAUCUACAUUCAUCACACAAA